This is a long non-coding RNA of Triticum dicoccoides, 3050 nucleotides long. RefSeq lists it as uncharacterized. NCBI's taxonomy places the organism in Eukaryota, Viridiplantae, Streptophyta, Magnoliopsida, Poales, Poaceae. The transcript is spliced from 10 exons. The record is from RefSeq and is a predicted model, not a curated record.
CAAAUUUAUCCUUUCAGGCGCCGCACGAGGCGAGGAGCUCAGAGCUAUGGCGAUGGCCGAGGCGGGAGGCGGGAGGCGAGGAGCUCAGAGCUAUGGCGAUGGCGGAGUCGGGAGGCGAUGGAUUCGAGUUCCUAUCAGAUCCGGUUAGGAGGUAUGUUUUGCUGCCGGCGCUUUUUGUUUCUGGUGUAGGCCGCUGUCAGAUCUCGCGGCCGCCGAAUCCUUGCUGGACGGCGAAGGCAACCAAACUCUGGUAUUCAUGGCCGCUGGAUCCAGCAUUGGUGAUGGGCGAUGCACUCACAGCGGAGAUAUUUUUCAUGGCUUCCCUGAUGGAGACUGCUUUGUGUCUUGGUCGAACUCAUUGAAAUUAUGGUGGCGAUUGUGUAAAUGGAGGUGCGCCUACAAAACAAACAUGCCUUCGUGUGAGAUGCUCGUACAAACCUAGGGAUUUCAGAGUAACACAUUCGAAUAGUUUGGAAAUUUCAUCUCUGAAGCAACAAAAAUGACAAAAGAAUAGCACUGUGCAAGUAUAAUGCAUAUUGGCAAAAGGAAAAAAAAAGUAAACGUGCAAAUUACAUACAUAGCAAAAUACAUAUUUUUUUGACCAUUUAUGCUGCCAGCUUUCUACAAUUGGUAUAUGACACUAUUACCAUAGGAGCACGUACUAGCAUCUAAAAAUAUCUAUUUAGUUAGCCGGGAAUAAUAUUAACAAAAAAAAAUGCACAUGGUUCAUAUUUUUAUUUUGAAAAAAGAUUGAUCUCAAGUAUCUACUCCGGAGAUAGUUUGCGGCUGCUCGGUUAGUAUCAUUUUUUUAUUCACCAUCAUAUGUAUGAGAGUGAUGCUUGUGACCAUAAAAAUGAAACUCACAUAUCGUUAUUUCUCACAAAAUAUUUUGCAGGGUGUCCCGCAAAGAAGUAACACCUGGUCUUACCGAUGUAGGUGCCCAUACGGUUACUCCAUUCAAAGGACAAUGGAUGGUACAUAAGUGAGCACAGGACAUUCCACAAUCACUCUCUUACAGAUAAGUGUGGUGAGAAACUAUACUGGCCCUCACACAAACAUAUCGACAUAUAUACACAUGACCUUGUCAAGCUGCUCCGUGAAAAAAAUAUCAGCAUCAGCAAAGUGUACAAUAUAAUUGAUAGUUUCUUUGGUUCAAUGAGCAAUGUGCCUUUCAGCAAAAGAGCGUUAAGGGGGCUUUGUUGAGAAAUCAGCCGAGAUCAGGCGGAUGAUGAUGUCAGGAAGACAAUGCAAGUUUUUGCUGAGCUAGAAUCCAAAGAUUUUGGGUUUGUACUACAGAGUGCAGCCAGAUGAAGACAACCGCAUACGGAAUCUGUUACGGUCAACAGGAGCAAGCAGAGCACAGUACUAUUACUCGCUCUCAACGUGCCAUUUGUGGUCGUCUUGAUCGUCAGUGUGCAGAUGGCCCCGCAAUAAACAAUGACGAUGGCGGUGUUGUGCAUACAACAACCAUGGAAACAUCAGCUGGAACCACUACUUUUCCUUCCGUGAGAACACCAGUCAUCGUAACACACUCGAUGAGCAUGCUGUCAAUGGGUGCAGACAAUCUUGUUCCUGACACGGGCAAUAAUUGACCACUCCGGGAUGCGAAGUCCAAGAGCAGCUGAAUGCGAAACAACACAUGACAUUGACUUGUUGGCAGCGGUGGCCACAGGCACCUGCCCUGCCCAGAUCACAUCUCCAGCAGCAAAUGGAAAUCCCAACAUACUUGCAACUGCUCCUGCUGAUGCACCUCCAUCCGAAGCUGGGCCUAGCAACUGGCAACCCAUGAGAGUACCGCCUGAUGCUCCAUCUGAAAAGAGAGCCGGAUGUUGUGGUCGCAAGAUUUGCAAGACUAAUAAUAGACUUCUGCCAUUUACAGCUUAUACGGGAAGAUGGGAGGAUGCAACCCAGUUGAGCUUCGUAGAUUUGUGUGUUGCUCCUGUUUCGUACACCCUCAGACAUGUCAACUCUUCCACCACAACCUGUCAAUAGAAAAGAACGUUCCAAAAAAAUUUGGCCCAGGCCAGAGCCUCAAGGGGAAUGGCAUGGCAGUGUCGGUCCGUGCUCUGGAGAUAAAAGACGACAAGCUGUACCACAGAAGAGCCCCACGGUGGAGGAAGAUAAUGAACCCAUGCUUUGCACCUUUUGUUUUCCACCCAGGAUAAAUUCUUGUACAACUCCAAAGACCCUCACACUGAUAGGUUCGUGUGGAUGUUCAAUCAAAAGAUUCUCCAGAUCGACCUGCAAGAGUGCAAAAAGUUGAUAAUACUGGUUUUGGAGAACGGGUGGUGCCUUUAUGAGAUUGAUCUCGGUGCCAAAACACUAUAUGUCAUGGACCCAAUGAUGGCAUCAUCCACACAGUAUAAGAUGGAGCGGAAACACAGAAACACAUGAAAACCAGCCGCCUUAUGUUCCAUUGCUUCAACAAGUGCCUUCACGAAUUGUAUCCAGAUUGGCAUUUUGCUACUUAUCCAUGGACUUACAAGUACAACUCGGGCAUGCACAAGGACUGCAGCAGUGCUGACAGAGGAUUCUAUGUGCUGUACUACAUCAAGGAGUUUGAUGGUGUGAUACUGAAAACUACCCCUACCCCAAAGGAGAUGGCAUAUCAGGUUCUGGCACUCAAGGGCAACAAGGCGGAUUUCCGAAACUGCAUGUAUGGGCGCAUCCUGGAGUAGAGACCACUACUAAUAAGUCAAUAAAAGGUGUGACUCCCUCGAGCCAAUCGAAGUUACGCAGAACAUUGGAGAUCAUCCUUGUUGCUUAUGCAGCUGAGGAUUUAUGUGACCCGCUCCAACAACUCCUUGUGUUGAUGUCUAUGUAUCCCUAUCGCAUGGCAAGACUUGUUAGCCUUAUUUGUAAUAGACCUCAUAUAUGGUUGUGUGCUAAGACUAUUUGUACGUGUAAUGGCACCUAUGGACAUGCAAUGUCCCUAUCUCUGUGCAUGGUUCAACCCCAAAAAACAAAAACAAAAAAGUGUACCUCAUGCCCUGACCACUCUGGCAGGUAUUGCGCCCAAGUUGGACAAUUUAUUCAGUGUUUGAUCUUCA